Molecule: ribosomal RNA, 1486 nt
Filed under: metagenome
Description: bacterial LSU rRNA
Rfam family: Bacterial large subunit ribosomal RNA
Source: RNAcentral
GCCGAUGGACAACAGGUGGAGAUUCCUGUACUGCGGUAUGACAGAACUGUGGGGACACGUAAGGAAAGCGGAAGCCGGGAAUGGAAAGCCCGGUGCAAGCGGGGUACCAGCCACUCAGGCAAAUCCGGGUGGCAAUGGGAAGCCGUGAUGCGGAGCGAAAUAAAGUAGCGAAGUCCGUGAGCCUUGCGUCAAGAAAAGCCGCUAUUGUUUAUACCGUACCCGUACCGUAAACCGACACAGGUGGAUGAGGAGAGAAUCCUAAGGCCGGCGGAAGAAGCAUUGUCAAGGAACUCGGCAAAAUGGCCCCGUAACUUAGGGAUAAGGGGUGCCUGGGAAACCAGGCCGCAGAGAAUAGGCUCAAGCAACUGUUUAGCAAAAACACAGGUCUAUGCGAAACCGAAAGGUGAGGUAUAUGGGCUGACGCCUGCCCGGUGCUGGAAGGUUAAGAGGAGAGGUUAGCGCAAGCGAAGCUUUGAAUUUAAGCCCCAGUAAAACGGCGGCCGUAACAAUAACGGUCCUAAGGUAGCGAAAUUCCUUGUCGGGUAAGUUCCGACCCGCACGAAAGGCGUAAUGAUUUGAGCGCUGUCUCGACAAUGCAUCCGGUGAAAUUGAAGUACCAGUGAAGAUGCUGGUUACCUGCGCCAGGACGGAAAGACCCCAUGGAGCUUUACUCCAGUCUGGUACUGGGACUCGGUAUUGCAUGUACAGGAUAGGUGGGAGGCUAGGAGAUGGUAACGCCAGUUGCCAUGGAGCCGCUGUUGGGAUACCACCCUUGCAGUAUUGAGUUUCUAACCAGCCGCCGUGCCCGGCGGUGGGACAAUGCCAGACGGGGAGUUUGACUGGGGCGGUCGCCUCCGAAAGGGUAUCGGAGGCGCCCAAAGGUUCCCUCAGAAUGGACGGAAACCAUUCGAAGAGUGCAAAGGCAGAAGGGAGCUUGACUGCGACACCGACGGGUGGAGCAGGUACGAAAGUAGGGCUUAGUGAUCCGGUGGUAUUAAGUGGGAAUGCCAUCGCUCAACGGAUAAAAGCUACCCUGGGAUAACAGGCUUAUCACUCCCAAGAGUUCACAUCGACGGAGUGGUUUGGCACCUCGAUGUCGGCUCAUCGCAUCCUGGGGCUGUAGUAGGUCCCAAGGGUUGGGCUGUUCGCCCAUUAAAGCGGUACGCGAGCUGGGUUCAGAACGUCGUGAGACAGUUCGGUCCCUAUCCGGCGUGGGCGUAGGAUAUCUGAGAGGAGCUGUCCUUAGUACGAGAGGACCGGGAUGGACGGGCCGCUGGUGCAUCGGUUAGACUGCCAAGUCUACGGCCGAGUAGCCAAGCCCGGAAGGGAUAAACGCUGAAGGCAUCUAAGCGUGAAGCCCCCCUUAAGAUGAGAUAUCCCAUUCGAAAGAAGUAAACCCCCUUGAAGACGACGAGGUAGAUAGGGCAGAGGUGGAAGUGCAGCAAUGCAUGGAGCUGACUGUUACUAAUCGGGUGAGGGCUUGACC